ACCCUAUAGGCUUUGCACGUGCGGCUGCUGUGUCACAUGAGCGUCAGUAGGUGGUAGAGACGAGAGAGGCUGUGUCUACGCUCAGUGUUCUGACCAUGAACAUCUGAAUGAUUACUAUCCUAACAUU
Psammomys obesus (fat sand rat) is the source of this 127-nucleotide small nucleolar RNA. RefSeq annotates it as small nucleolar RNA SNORA17. Lineage: Eukaryota; Metazoa; Chordata; Mammalia; Rodentia; Muridae. The transcript has a single exon. The record is from RefSeq and is a predicted model, not a curated record.